CGGCCGCCCCUUUACGGAUCCUUGUCCCAAUGUUUUAUGGCCGUCGCUGCUGCUCACUUGUCCUGGAAACCCAACCGGAGGAGCAGGAGCACCUCACAGAUGACUGAAACUAGGAGCCCACGACCACAACACGUCCAAAGAUAUCUUUUUCCGGGGUAGUAGAUCCAUCCAUCUCUGCGCCGUGUGUCCAACAUUGGCCACAAUUGGGUAGGACGGACGGACACACUUCAACUUUUCCUUGGCAGAAGAGUGUUGGGGGGAAACGAUCGAGCCAUCCGGUGCAACAAGAUGAAAGAAAAAAGCAGCAACUGGGCAAUUGAUGAUGCUGAUAGGCCCCUUUUCGAUACGCACUACCCCUCGCCAUGAAUCCCAGCACUUCACAGGUGUGCGCACCAUCUCAUAUAAAUAUAACCCUCCACAUAUGCUCAGCAGUUUACAAUGCGUUUCUCCCCUUUGCGGCUCUUUUUUCUUUCCUAUUUAUUAAA
Daphnia pulicaria is the source of this 485-nucleotide long non-coding RNA. RefSeq lists it as uncharacterized. The record is from RefSeq and is a predicted model, not a curated record. Lineage: Eukaryota; Metazoa; Arthropoda; Branchiopoda; Diplostraca; Daphniidae. The transcript has 3 exons.